GGAGAGGUGUCCGAGCGGCUUAAGGAGCACGCCUGGAAAGUGUGUGUAGGUUAAUCCCUACCGCGGGUUCGAAUCCCGCCCUCUCCGCCA
Molecule: transfer RNA, 90 nt
Filed under: Rickettsiella sp.
Lineage: Bacteria; Pseudomonadati; Pseudomonadota; Gammaproteobacteria; Legionellales; Coxiellaceae
Description: tRNA-Ser
Rfam family: tRNA
About the family: Transfer RNA (tRNA) molecules are approximately 80 nucleotides in length. Their secondary structure includes four short double-helical elements and three loops (D, anti-codon, and T loops).
Source: RNAcentral